Molecule: ribosomal RNA, 515 nt
Filed under: Aphelenchoides parietinus
Lineage: Eukaryota; Metazoa; Nematoda; Chromadorea; Rhabditida; Aphelenchoididae
Description: eukaryotic LSU rRNA
Rfam family: Eukaryotic large subunit ribosomal RNA
Source: RNAcentral
UGAAACACGGACCAAGGAGUUUAAGGUGUACGCAAGUCAUUGAUUGUUCAAAGUCAUAGGCGUAAUGAAAGUGGGACACUUGGUGUCUGUGAUGUGAGCCUUGCUUGUUUCGACGGGCUUGGCGCAACAUCGACCCAUGACUAGGGCUUGCUCUGUUGUGGAGUCUGAGCGUACGCUUUGAGACCCGAAAGAUGGUGAACUAUGCCUGAACAGGACGAAGUCAGAGGAAACUCUGAUGGAAGUCCGAAGCGGUUCUGACGUGCAAAUCGAUCGUCUGAUUUGGGUAUAGGGGCGCAAGACUAAUCGAACCAUCUAGUAGCUGGUUCCUUCCGAAGUUUCCCUCAGGAUAGCUGGAGCACAUAAGCAGAUAUACUCGGUAAAGCGAACGAUUAGAGUCAUUGGGAUGUAUUAUUCUCAAACUAUUCUCAUACUCUAAAUGGUUAUGUUGUCGGUGUUACUUAACUGAACACCCGACUUUGAUUGCUGUGCUCCAAGUGGGCCAUUUUUGGUAAGCA